GAAGUUAGCUUCGUAGGUGACCUGCGGAAGGAUCAUUACUGAAUUGAAGUAAUUCUCUUUGAAAGGUCUUCGAAGUAGGCUUCGCUACCGCGCUGCCGAAAAGAACCUCUCUCACCCUUGUGUACCAAACCAUGUUGCUUUGGCGGGCCGACCCGGUUUCGACCCGGGCGGCCGGCGCCCCCAGCCCUAACCCGGCCAGGACGUCCGGCCAAGCGCCCGCCAGUAUACAAAACUCAAGCGAUUAUUUUGUGAAGUCCUGAAAUAUCAUUCAAUUGAUUAAAACUUUCAACAACGGAUCUCUUGGUUCUGGCAUCGAUGAAGAACGCAGCGAAAUGCGAUAAGUAAUGUGAAUUGCAGAAUUCAGUGAAUCAUCGAAUCUUUGAACGCACAUUGCGCCCUCUGGUAUUCCGGAGGGCAUGCCUGUUCGAGCGUCAUUUCAACCCUCAAGCUCUGCUUGGUAUUGGGCGACGUCCGCUGCCGGACGCGCCUCGAAGACCUCGGCGACGGCGUCUCUAGCCUCGAGCGUAGUAGUAACAUUCUCGCUCUGGAGUUGCUGGGGCGACGGCCGCCGGACAAUCGACCUUCGGUCCAUCAUUUUCCAAGGUUGACCUCGGAUCAGGUAGGGAUACCCGCUGAACUUAAGCAUAUCAAAAAG
RNAcentral lists this ribosomal RNA (655 nucleotides) under Guignardia sp. GSL1_3_1. RNAcentral's name for it is "eukaryotic LSU rRNA". The stretch from base 281 to 434 matches the Rfam family "5.8S ribosomal RNA". The record is from RNAcentral. Lineage: Eukaryota; Fungi; Ascomycota; Dothideomycetes; Botryosphaeriales; Phyllostictaceae.